Molecule: ribosomal RNA, 253 nt
Filed under: uncultured bacterium
Lineage: Bacteria
Description: partial 16S ribosomal RNA
Rfam family: Bacterial small subunit ribosomal RNA
Source: RNAcentral
UACAGAGGUCUCAAGCGUUGUUCGGAUUUAUUGGGCGUAAAGAGCUCGUAGGCGGCUUGUCGCGUCGUCCGUGAAAACUUGGGGCUCAACCCCAAGCUUGCGGUCGAUACGGGCAGGCUCGAGUUCGGUAGGGGAGACUGGAAUUCCUGGUGUAGCGGUGAAAUGCGCAGAUAUCAGGAGGAACACCGAUGGCGAAGGCAGGUCUCUGGGCAUUAACUGACGCUGAGGAGCGAAAGCAUGGGGAGCGAACAGG